This 128-nucleotide ribosomal RNA is filed under the name uncultured eukaryote. RNAcentral describes it as "partial small subunit ribosomal RNA". It matches the Rfam family "Eukaryotic small subunit ribosomal RNA", at positions 1651 to 1794 of the family's 1831-position model. The record is from RNAcentral.
CCCUGCCAUUUGUACACACCGCCCGUCACUUCUACCGAUUCGAGUGGUUCGGCGAAUGCUUCGGAUCGACCCGCAAGGUGUCGAAAAGUUGUGUAAGCCAUAUCACUUAGAGGAAGGAUAAGGCGUAA